GAGUGAGAGUGUCUCAGUGAACUGACUGUGGGAAGAGCUUUAACCAGUUAAACAGCCUGAAAAAGCAUCACAUCGUUCACAGUGAGGAGAAACCAUACACAUGUUCUGUGUCUGGACAAGGCUUCAACUGAUCAUUCAACCUGGAGAGACACAAGGACACCCACACUAUGGAGAAACCGUGGAAAUGUGAGGACUGUGGGAAAGGAUUCAAUUAUCCAUCCCUGCUGGAAAACCAUCGACACAGUCACACAGGGGAAAGGCCAUUCACCUGCUCUGUGUGUGGGGAGGGAUUUACUCAGUCAUCUGGCCUUUGGUCACACCAACGUAUUCACACUGAGGAGAAGCUAUUCAGCUGCACUUCCUGUGGAAAGAGGUUCAGGCACUCUUCUGCACUUACUGUACACCAACGCACUCACACUGGGGAGAGGCCAUUCACCUGCUCCGAGUGUGGGAAGGGAUUUACUCAGUCAUUCCACCUGCUGACACACCAGCGAGUUCACACUGGAGAGAGGCUGUUCACUUGCUCUGUGUGUGGGAAAGGAUUCACUGGGUCAUCCCACCUGCUGUCACACCAGCGAAUUCACAUUGAAGAGAAGCCAUUCAGUUGCACUUCCUGUGGAAAGAGUUUCAGACAAGCAUCCUCCCUCAUUUUACACCAGCGAGUUCACACUGGGGAGAGACCAUUCAUCUGCUCCGAGUGUGGGAAGGGAUUCACAGUUUUACCCAACCUGCUGAGACACCAGCGAAUUCACACUGGGGAGAAGCCAUUUAGCUGCACUUCCUGUGGGAAGCGUUUCAGGCAGUCAUCCAACCUCACUGCUCACCAACGCACUCACACUGCAGAGAGACCAUUCACAUGCUCCGUAUGUGGGAAAGGAUUCAGUCGAUCAUCCAACCUCACCGCACACCAGCGAGUUCACACUGGGGAGAGGCCGUUCACUUGCUCGCUGUGUGGGAAGGGAUUUGCAAAGUCUUUCAAUCUGCUGACCCACCAACGCACUCACACUGAGAAGAGGUUAUUCAACUCUCGGUGUGUGGGAAGGGAUUCACUCAGUCACGAUGCCUCCUGAGACAUCAGCAAGUUCAUAAGUGACUGCGGGGGUUGGAUCCUGCUGUUCUUGCUGCUUCUCCUGUAAAUACUGAUGGGAAAGGGACCGGAAUCUUCGGAGGCUCCACUCCGCUGGCUGCUUGUGAGGAAGUGAUUUCCGACCAGAUUAAUGUGCUUCUGCUUGACUCCAGCCACAGCUCCAGCUCUGAAACGUGGAUUUUGAGUAGCUGCAACUGGAGACAUUUCCUACAUACUUGGUCACCUGGAGACUGGAAGUGUCCCUGACUUCCCACAUUGCACAGGAGGAGCAUUCCACUUGGCCGAGCUGCCCUGCCAUGACUUAACUGUAUAAGCCAGUUAACUAAUGGACUAGCUGCAGCUGCAAGUAGAGCCUGUAUAAGUUUGGUUUUAAAGCUGGACUAACAGUCACUUUCUCCCAACCCAAAGAAUAACUUUUAGCAAUACUUA
Carcharodon carcharias (great white shark) is the source of this 1516-nucleotide RNA transcript. It is a transcript of the gene named zinc finger protein 239-like, with no coding region annotated. NCBI's taxonomy places the organism in Eukaryota, Metazoa, Chordata, Chondrichthyes, Lamniformes, Lamnidae. The transcript is spliced from 3 exons. The record is from RefSeq and is a predicted model, not a curated record.